RNAcentral lists this ribosomal RNA (350 nucleotides) under Lactarius deterrimus. RNAcentral describes it as "eukaryotic LSU rRNA". The stretch from base 1 to 71 matches the Rfam family "5.8S ribosomal RNA", at positions 84 to 154 of the family's 154-position model. The record is from RNAcentral. Lineage: Eukaryota; Fungi; Basidiomycota; Agaricomycetes; Russulales; Russulaceae.
GUGAGUCAUCGAAUCUUUGAACGCACCUUGCGCCCCUUGGUAUUCCGAGGGGCACACCCGUUUGAGUGUCGUGAAAAUCUCAACCUUCUCGGUUUUCUUCUGGACACCGAAGGAGGCUUGGACUUUGGAGGCCUUUGCUGGCAUCUCUCUCUUCUUGAGAGCCAGCUCCUCUUAAACGAAUUAGCGGGGUCCUCUUUGCCGAUCCUCGACAUGUGAUAAGAUGUUUCCAUGACUUGGUUUCUGGCUCUGUUGCCUUUGGGACCCGCUUCUAACCGUCUCGACGAGACGACGUUUGGGCGCGUCUCCCUUCUCGGGAGACCCUCUCAACCCCACGAACCCUUGACCUCAAA